Molecule: ribosomal RNA, 252 nt
Filed under: Pantoea sp. PNA 03-3
Lineage: Bacteria; Pseudomonadati; Pseudomonadota; Gammaproteobacteria; Enterobacterales; Erwiniaceae
Source: RNAcentral
UACCGGUACUAAUGACCCGUGAGGCUUAACCUUACAACGCCAGAGGCGUUUUGGGUUGAGAGACAAAAGAAUUUUCAGCCUUGUUUACCGGAUAACGCCGUGCGGCCCGAGAGGGCGGUGCGGCAGACAGAAUCUGCCUGGCGGCUGUAGCGCGGUGGUCCCACCUGACCCCAUGCCGAACUCAGAAGUGAAACGCCGUAGCGCCGAUGGUAGUGUGGGGUCUCCCCAUGCGAGAGUAGGGAACUGCCAGGC